UGUCCUGUAUGUCAUUUUCAGUCUUCAAUUCCUCCCAGCCCGUGUUAUGGAAUUACUGAGUUGAGGCGAGUUGAAGACUAAAAAUGCUGUACAGAUUCA
RNAcentral lists this microRNA precursor (99 nucleotides) under Lepisosteus oculatus (spotted gar). RNAcentral's name for it is "miRNA (ENSLOCG00000019903.1)". The record is from RNAcentral. Lineage: Eukaryota; Metazoa; Chordata; Actinopteri; Semionotiformes; Lepisosteidae.